AACCCUACGGACGCAGCAGUAGGGAAUUUUCGUCAAUGGGCGCAAGCCUGAACGAGCAAUGCCGCGUGAACGAGGAAGGUCUUCGGAUCGUAAAGUUCUGUUGAAGGGGAAAAAGAGCGGAGAGAGGAAAUGAACUCCGAUUGAUAUUACCCUUCGAGGAAGUCACGGCUAACUCCGUGCCGGCAGCCGCGGUAAUACGGAGGAUGCGAGCGUUAUCCGGAUUCAUUGGGUUUAAAGGGUGCGCAGGCGGGCCUUUAAGCCGGCGGUGAAAUCGCGGGG
Molecule: ribosomal RNA, 279 nt
Filed under: uncultured bacterium
Lineage: Bacteria
Description: partial 16S ribosomal RNA
Rfam family: Bacterial small subunit ribosomal RNA
Source: RNAcentral